Molecule: non-coding RNA, 74 nt
Organism: Phrynosoma platyrhinos (Desert horned lizard)
Lineage: Eukaryota; Metazoa; Chordata; Lepidosauria; Squamata; Phrynosomatidae
Source: the annotation of a GenBank genome assembly
AUUGCAAUGGCAUAGUGGUCUGAGUGUUGGACUAUGAUUCUGAAGACCAGGGUUCAAUUCCCUACUCAGCCAUG